CCCUACGGGGCGCAGCAGGCGAACAUGGUAUAGACUUGGCAUCUUCCUUUAUGGUAGGCGAUAGGGCGAGUGAUAUCGAAGCAGGUAAUAGGGCAGGAUGCCGGACCAUAUUUAUUAAGCAUGAGAAAGUAACAGACUCAUGCGAAGAGCUGGCAGAUUACACGGCCGCCAACUGGCUCGAAAUAACUGACUAUGUGCUGCACAAUACCGUAGAGACGGUUUUGCAUGAUGUUGCACAGUGACAUAACAUACUCAUAAUGAUGAAGGUAAAAAGCCUAUUAUUUGAUCGCAGCAAAUUGGAGCUGGAGCCUUUAAGGCAGAGAACCCACGACCUUGAUGCAGGCGUAAUAAGACAACUCGACAGUGUUGAGCAGCGGCCGAAGGGUAUAGAGGAGGUUGCUGCCCGUAUUGUGGAGGCUAAGAGAUCGGGGAGGGC
This 436-nucleotide ribosomal RNA is filed under the name uncultured prokaryote. RNAcentral describes it as "partial 16S ribosomal RNA". The record is from RNAcentral.